CUACGGGCGGCUCCAGUGGGGAAUAUUGCACAAUGGGCGCAAGCCUGAUGCAGCCAUGCCGCGUGUAUGAAGAAGGCCUUCGGGUUGUAAAGUACUUUCAGCGGGGAGGAAGGGAGUAAAGUUAAUACCUUUGCUCAUUGACGUUACCCGCAGAAGAAGCACCGGCUAACUCCGUGCCAGCAGCCGCGGUAAUACGGAGGGUGCAAGCGUUAAUCGGAAUUACUGGGCGUAAAGCGCACGCAGGCGGUUUGUUAAGUCAGAUGUGAAAUCCCCGGGCUCAGCCGGGGAACUGCAUCUGAUACUGGCAAGCUAGAGUCUCGUAGAGGGGGGUAGAAUUCCAGGUGUAGCGGUGAAAUGCGUAGAGAUCUGGAGGAAUACCGGUGGCGAAGGCGGCCCCCUGGACGAAGACUGACGCUCAGGUGCGAAAGCGUGGGGAGCAAACAGGAUUAGAUACCCCCGUAGUC
This 464-nucleotide ribosomal RNA is filed under the name uncultured bacterium. RNAcentral describes it as "partial 16S ribosomal RNA". It matches the Rfam family "Bacterial small subunit ribosomal RNA", at positions 339 to 795 of the family's 1533-position model. The record is from RNAcentral.